This 424-nucleotide ribosomal RNA is filed under the name uncultured bacterium. RNAcentral's name for it is "partial 16S ribosomal RNA". It matches the Rfam family "Bacterial small subunit ribosomal RNA", at positions 360 to 776 of the family's 1533-position model. The record is from RNAcentral.
AAUAUUGGACAAUGGGGGGAACCCUGAUCCAGCCAUGCCUCGUGUGUGAAGAAGGUCUUCGGAUUGUAAAGCACUUGAAGUUGGGAGGAAGGGCAGUAAGUUAAUACCUUGCUGUUUUGACGUUACCGACAGAAUAAGCACCGGCUAACUCAGUGCCAGCAUCCGCGGUAAUACGAAGGGUGCAAGCGUUAAUCGGAAUUACUGGGCGUAAAGCGCGCGUAGGUGGUUCGUUAAGUUAGAAGUGAAAGCCCCGGGCUUAACCUGGGAAUUGCUUUCAAAACUGACGAGCUGGAGUACGGUAGAGGGUAGUGGAAUUUCCUGUGUAGCGGUGAAAUGCGUAGAUAUAGGAAGGAACAUCAGUGGCGAAGGCGACUACCUGGACUGAUACUGACACUGAGGUGCGAAAGCGCGGGGAGCGAACAGG